Long non-coding RNA from Dermochelys coriacea (leatherback sea turtle), 149 nucleotides. RefSeq lists it as uncharacterized. NCBI's taxonomy places the organism in Eukaryota, Metazoa, Chordata, Testudines, Dermochelyidae. The transcript is spliced from 3 exons. The record is from RefSeq and is a predicted model, not a curated record.
AGAAAGGACUUUGCAAGGUAAGUACCCAGUCAAAAAACACUUAAGCCACCAAUGAACUUGGAGACACCAAUCCAUAUCUGAGCUUUCCCAGGAAUGUGGCCUGGCUGGUAAGGAACUCAGUCAUGCAUGGACAUGUGACUUGUCCAUGU